GUUACUAUAGAGCUGCGCAAAUUGCUCCACUUAUUGCAGCUUCCCACCGCUCGACUCCCAUGACAUGGGUCGAAUUGGAGAAACAUAGAGCCGACGGCAUCUCACUCCCCGCCGUGGCAUGGAUGCCACCGAAACACAGACCCAAAGCGCCAGAAAUGCUGCCGACAACCACACUUACUCUCUCUGUGUGGGAUGACUACCGCAAAAAUAAGGGGAACAUGUCACCUAUCUCACCGGCAACCCCAAUAGAAUCGAUCCAGCACCUUAUCCCAAAUUUCAACCACAAACUUUGGCACAGACAUGGCAUCCACACGCUGUCGCAGGUGUUGCAGGGCACCAAACUCAAGCAAUUCAAGGAUAUAUGUGAAGAAUUCCGAAUACCAACGACAGCGACCUUCUCCUAUAACCAGCUACAAUCAUGGAUAAACCUACAUAAAUCGCAACAAACAGUACACCCACCUGAUCCACACUGGCUUAAACUGACAGAGAUAUGCACCAAGACGAAACCGGCAACAAAAAUUAUCUCAACAAUUUAC
Pelobates cultripes (western spadefoot toad) is the source of this 536-nucleotide non-coding RNA. The record is from the annotation of a GenBank genome assembly. Lineage: Eukaryota; Metazoa; Chordata; Amphibia; Anura; Pelobatidae.